RNAcentral lists this ribosomal RNA (472 nucleotides) under uncultured bacterium. RNAcentral's name for it is "partial 16S ribosomal RNA". It matches the Rfam family "Bacterial small subunit ribosomal RNA", at positions 29 to 507 of the family's 1533-position model. The record is from RNAcentral.
AGUGAACGCUGGCGGUAGGCCUAACACAUGCAAGUCGAACGGCAGCACAGUAAGAGCUUGCUCUUACGGGUGGCGAGUGGCGGACGGGUGAGGAAUACAUCGGAAUCUACUUUUUCGUGGGGGAUAACGUAGGGAAACUUACGCUAAUACCGCAUACGACCUACGGGUGAAAGCAGGGGAUCUUCGGACCUUGCGCGAUUGAAUGAGCCGAUGUCGGAUUAGCUAGUUGGCGGGGUAAAGGCCCACCAAGGCGACGAUCCGUAGCUGGUCUGAGAGGAUGAUCAGCCACACUGGAACUGAGACGCGGUCCAGACUCCUACGGGAGGCAGCAGUGGGGAAUAUUGCACAAUGGGCGGAAGCCUGAUGCAGCAACGCCGCGUGCGGGAUGACGGCCUUCGGGUUGUAAACCGCUUUCGCCUGUGACGAAGCGUGAGUGACGGUAAUGGGUAAAGAAGCACCGGCUAACUACGUG